AAGUUGUUCUUUAAGACUAGAUAUAAUUAAUUACGCUUUAUUUACACUAAAGAUAUAUUUUAGGAUUGUUUUA
RNAcentral lists this transfer RNA (73 nucleotides) under Cyclotus taivanus dilatus. RNAcentral describes it as "tRNA-Val". The record is from RNAcentral. Lineage: Eukaryota; Metazoa; Mollusca; Gastropoda; Architaenioglossa; Cyclophoridae.